This 600-nucleotide ribosomal RNA is filed under the name uncultured archaeon. Its description in RNAcentral is "bacterial SSU rRNA". It matches the Rfam family "Archaeal small subunit ribosomal RNA", at positions 123 to 723 of the family's 1478-position model. The record is from RNAcentral.
GGGAUAACCUUGGGAAACUGAGGAUAAUACUGGAUAGGCAAUUUUUCCUGUAAUGGUUUUUUGUUUAAAUGUUUUUUCGCCUAAGGAUGGGUCUGCGGCCGAUUAGGUAGUUGGUUAGGUAAUGGCUUACCAAGCCGUUGAUCGGUACGGGUUGUGAGAGCAAGAGCCCGGAGAUGGAACCUGAGACAAGGUUCCAGGCCCUACGGGGUGCAGCAGGCGCGAAACCUCCGCAAUGUGAGAAAUCGCGACGGGGGGAUCCCAAGUGCCAUUCUUAACGGGAUGGCUUUUCAUUAGUGUAAAAAGCUUUUGGAAUAAGAGCUGGGCAAGACCGGUGCCAGCCGCCGCGGUAACACCGGCAGCUCUAGUGGUAGCAAUUUUUAUUGGGCCUAAAGCGUCCGUAGCCGGUUUAAUAAGUCUCUGGUGAAAUCCUGUAGCUUAACUGUGGGAAUUGCUGGAGAUACUAUUAGACUUGAGACCGGGAGAGGUUAGAGGUACUCCCAGGGUAGAGGUGAAAUUCUGUAAUCCUGGGAGGACCGCCUGUUGCGAAGGCGUCUAACUGGAACGGUUCUGACGGUGAGGGACGAAAGUUAGGGGCGCGAA